AGCAGUCGCCGCGGUAAUACAGAGGGUGCGAGCGUUAAUCGGAUUUACUGGGCGUAAAGCGUGCGUAGGCGGCUUUUUAAGUCGGAUGUGAAAUCCCUGAGCUUAACUUAGGAAUUGCAUUCGAUACUGGGAAGCUAGAGUAUGGGAGAGGAUGGUAGAAUUCCAGGUGUAGCGGUGAAAUGCGUAGUGAUCUGGAGGAAUACCGAUGGCGAAGGCAGCCAUCUGGCCUAAUACUGACGCUGAGGUACGAAAGCAUGGGGAGCAAACAGGAUUAGAUACCCCUGUAGUCCCUGUCUCUUAUAC
RNAcentral lists this ribosomal RNA (303 nucleotides) under uncultured bacterium. Its description in RNAcentral is "partial 16S ribosomal RNA". It matches the Rfam family "Bacterial small subunit ribosomal RNA", at positions 507 to 807 of the family's 1533-position model. The record is from RNAcentral.